Molecule: long non-coding RNA, 894 nt
Filed under: Ostreococcus sp. 'lucimarinus'
Lineage: Eukaryota; Viridiplantae; Chlorophyta; Mamiellophyceae; Mamiellales; Bathycoccaceae
Description: long non-coding RNA (OLUC_LNC000003)
Source: RNAcentral
ACGCACGCGACGACGAUGAAGAUUGAGUCCCAAGAAAUGAAAUCCUUUACAAGUUUACAAGAAAUGAAAUCCUUUUACAACAAUUUUUGAUCACCAUCCUUUUUAAACAAUUUUGAUCACCAUCGUCUCUCUCGUCAGUCUCCCGCGUCGCGUCGUCAUCGCGCGCACGCACCGGCACCUCGCGACGACUCUCGCGUCGGUCGUCGAACGUCAACACGCCGAGACACGUGCGCGCGCCCACCGUCUCGCGCGAGGACGACGACGGUGAAGACGACGCAUCGUCUCGCGACGCAUCGUCUCGCGACGCGUCGGCUCGCGACGAGCGCUCCUCCACGCGCGCGCGAGGGCGCGCGUCCGCGCGUGGCGCGACCGGCGCGCGGGCGCGACCGACGGCGCGAGGCGCUGGCUAUGUGUACGCACUCAUAGUAGUGGUCACGAUGACGUAUCGUGCGCGUUCUUCACCCAUCUAUUUGCAUUCCUCGACAUCGCACUCGUAGUAGUGGUCACGACGGCGGGAAAACCACCGUUCCUCCGCGGCUCACUGUUUGCGCAUAGAGAAAAAUUCCGGCGUGGUCGCCCGCGUCAGGAGGGACUCUUGGAGGUGUGUGACUCGUCGCUACAUCUUAAACCUCGUGCGGAGAUAGAUCCCUUGCGGAGACGAUUACGCCGACGAGGGGAGACGAUCGACGCGCGCGCGCGCGCGGGACGCGGCAUACAUCGACGCACCGCGCGCCAAAACUCUCAAAGUAUCGUCACCGAGCGCACACGCUCGAUUUUGACGCAUCUCGACGCACGUUUGUAACGCGCGCGACACCUGUUCAAUCCUCAAUCGGAUCACUCAAUUAACUUUUAAAACACCAUGCCGGAACGUAACCCUGGUUUGGCUUACAUGAU